RNAcentral lists this ribosomal RNA (334 nucleotides) under uncultured Anaerolineaceae bacterium. Its description in RNAcentral is "bacterial SSU rRNA". It matches the Rfam family "Bacterial small subunit ribosomal RNA", at positions 1035 to 1382 of the family's 1533-position model. The record is from RNAcentral. Lineage: Bacteria; Bacillati; Chloroflexota; Anaerolineae; Anaerolineales; Anaerolineaceae.
CAGGUGCUGCAUGGCUGUCGUCAGCUCGUGUCGUGAGAUGUUCGGUUAAGUCCGCUAACGAGCGCAACCCUCGCUGUGUGUUAUAUGUGUCACACAGGACUGCUGGUAUUAAGCCGGAGGAAGGUGGGGACGACGUCAAGUCAGCAUGACCUCUAUAUCCAGGGCUACACACACGCUACAAUGGUCAGUACAAUGGGUUGCCAAGCCGCGAGGCGGAGCCAAUCCUAAAAAGCUGGCCUCAGUUCAGAUUGCAGUCUGAAACUCGACUGCAUGAAGUCGGAGUUGCUAGUAAACGCAGGUCAGCUAUACUGCGUUGAAUACGUUCCCGGGGCUU